UAGGGAAUCUUCCGCAAUGGACGCAAGUCUGACGGAGCAACGCCGCGUGAGUGAAGAAGGAUUUCGGUUCGUAAAACUCUGUUGUUAGAGAAGAACAGCGCAUAGAGUAACUGUUAUGCGUGUGACGGUAUCUAACCAGAAAGCCACGGCUAACUACGUGCCAGCAGCCGCGGUAAUACGUAGGUGGCAAGCGUUGUCCGGAUUUAUUGGGCGUAAAGCGAGCGCAGGCGGUCAAUUAAGUCUGAUGUGAAAGCCCCCGGCUCAACCGGGGAGGGUCAUUGGAAACUGGUUGACUUGAGUGCAGAAGAGGAGGAUGGAAUUCCAUGUGUAGCGGUGAAAUGCGUAGAUAUAUGGAGAAACACCAGUGGCGAAGGCGACUCUCUGGUCUGUAACUGACACGGAAGUUCGAAAGCGUGGGUAGCAAACAGG
RNAcentral lists this ribosomal RNA (429 nucleotides) under Bacteroidota bacterium. RNAcentral describes it as "Bacteroidetes bacterium partial 16S ribosomal RNA". It matches the Rfam family "Bacterial small subunit ribosomal RNA", at positions 355 to 776 of the family's 1533-position model. Lineage: Bacteria; Pseudomonadati; Bacteroidota. The record is from RNAcentral.